UACGUAGGGUGCGAGCGUUGUCCGGAAUUAUUGGGCGUAAAGAGCUUGUAGGCGGUUUGUCGCGUCUGCUGUGAAAAUCCGGGGCUCAACCCCGGACUUGCAGUGGGUACGGGCAGACUAGAGUGUGGUAGGGGAGACUGGAAUUCCUGGUGUAGCGGUGAAAUGCGCAGAUAUCAGGAGGAACACCGAUGGCGAAGGCAGGUCUCUGGGCCGUUACUGACGCUGAGAAGCGAAAGCAUGGGGAGCGAACAGG
RNAcentral lists this ribosomal RNA (253 nucleotides) under uncultured bacterium. Its description in RNAcentral is "partial 16S ribosomal RNA". It matches the Rfam family "Bacterial small subunit ribosomal RNA", at positions 524 to 776 of the family's 1533-position model. The record is from RNAcentral.